UACGUAGGGUGCGAGCGUUAAUCGGAAUACUGGCGUAAGCGUGCGCAGGCGGUUUGUAAGUCAGAUGUGAAAUCCCCGGGCUCAACCUGGGAACUGCGUUUGAAACUACAAGGCUAGAGUGUAGCAGAGGGGGGUAGAAUUCCACGUGUAGCAGUGAAAUGCGUAGAGAUGUGGAGGAAUACCAAUGGCGAAGGCAGCCCCCUGGGUUAACCACUGGACGCUACAUGC
Molecule: ribosomal RNA, 228 nt
Filed under: uncultured bacterium
Lineage: Bacteria
Description: partial 16S ribosomal RNA
Rfam family: Bacterial small subunit ribosomal RNA
Source: RNAcentral